Molecule: small RNA, 54 nt
Filed under: Arabidopsis thaliana (thale cress)
Lineage: Eukaryota; Viridiplantae; Streptophyta; Magnoliopsida; Brassicales; Brassicaceae
Description: ATSL089920
Source: RNAcentral
UAUAGCUUUGAUGGUGUAGUCGAAGUCCGUAUGAGUCUUUGGAUGUGUAACUUC